AAUAGAUACCCAGGUAGUCCACGCCGUAAACGAUGAGUGCUAAGUGUUAGAGGGUUUCCGCCCUUUAGUGCUGCAGCUAACGCAUUAAGCACUCCGCCUGGGGAGUACGGUCGCAAGACUGAAACUCAAAGGAAUUGACGGGGGCCCGCACAAGCGGUGGAGCAUGUGGUUUAAUUCGAAGCAACGCGAAGAACCUUACCAGGUCUUGACAUCCUCUGACAACUCUAGAGAUAGAGCGUUCCCCUUCGGGGGACAGAGUGACAGGUGGUGCAUGGUUGUCGUCAGCUCGUGUCGUGAGAUGUUGGGUUAAGUCCCGCAACGAGCGCAACCCUUGAUCUUAGUUGCCAGCAUUUAGUUGGGCACUCUAAGGUGACUGCCGGUGACAAACCGGAGGAAGGUGGGGAUGACGUCAAAUCAUCAUGCCCCUUAUGACCUGGGCUACACACGUGCUACAAUGGAUGGUACAAAGGGCUGCAAGACCGCGAGGUCAAGCCAAUCCCAUAAAACCAUUCUCAGUUCGGAUUGU
Molecule: ribosomal RNA, 526 nt
Filed under: uncultured bacterium
Lineage: Bacteria
Description: bacterial SSU rRNA
Rfam family: Bacterial small subunit ribosomal RNA
Source: RNAcentral